Molecule: non-coding RNA, 483 nt
Organism: Cyanistes caeruleus (blue tit)
Lineage: Eukaryota; Metazoa; Chordata; Aves; Passeriformes; Paridae
Source: RefSeq, a predicted model, not a curated record
GCCAGAUCCGGACACCCGAGCAUCUCCAGGGACGGUGACUCCAGCACCUCCUGGGCAGCCUGUCCCAGUGCCUGACCUCACAACCAGGAAAACUUACUGUCUGCUUCAGCUGCUGCUUGGAAAAUGAAAACACAUCUCUGUCUGUCAGGACCUGAGGGCACCACAAGACAUCAGUGGCCCUGCCCUGACUCACCUGGGACCUUCUCCAUGGGUUCAGCAGCCCCAUCUCAGCUCAGCCUGAGGGUUUGAGACCUUUCUGCACAGGGCUGCAGAGUUCUCUCUUCCCAAAUUCCAGCCCCUCUUCCCUGGAAUCUGCCUUGCCACUGUGGAUGUUUAUUCUUGAAAACGUUUAUUACUGAAAACUGAAUGUUAUUAUUAGAAAACUGGAGAUUGAAAGAGCCUAAUUGCACUUCAGUAAUUGUAAUUUUUUUUCUCUGAGCAAAAAGAAAAGCUAAUAAAAGAUAGAAAGUCAAUUUGAUCCAA